Molecule: ribosomal RNA, 446 nt
Filed under: uncultured bacterium
Lineage: Bacteria
Description: bacterial SSU rRNA
Rfam family: Bacterial small subunit ribosomal RNA
Source: RNAcentral
GCCAGACUCCUACGGGAGGCAGCAGUGGGGAAUAUUGCACAAUGGGGGAAACCCUGAUGCAGCGACGCCGCGUGAGCGAUGAAGUAUUUCGGUAUGUAAAGCUCUAUCAGCAGGGAAGAAGAUGACGGUACCUGACUAAGAAGCCCCGGCUAACUACGUGCCAGCAGCCGCGGUAAUACGUAGGGAGCAAGCGUUAUCCGGAUUUAUUGGGUGUAAAGGGUGCGUAGACGGGAAUUUAAGUUAGUUGUGAAAUCCCUCGGCUUAACUGAGGAACUGCAACUAAAACUGAAUUUCUUGAGUGCGGGAGAGGAAAGUGGAAUUCCUAGUGUAGCGGUGAAAUGCGUAGAUAUUAGGAGGAACACCAGUGGCGAAGGCGACUUUCUGGACCGUAACUGACGUUGAGGCACGAAAGUGUGGGGAGCAAACAGGAUUAGAUACCCCCGUAC